Molecule: ribosomal RNA, 427 nt
Filed under: uncultured bacterium
Lineage: Bacteria
Description: partial 16S ribosomal RNA
Rfam family: Bacterial small subunit ribosomal RNA
Source: RNAcentral
UGGGGAAUAUUGGACAAUGGGCGAAAGCCUGAUCCAGCCAUGCCGCGUGUGUGAAGAAGGUCUUCGGAUUGUAAAGCACUUUAAGUUGGGAGGAAGGGCAUUAACCUAAUACGUUAGUGUUUUGACGUUACCGACAGAAUAAGCACCGGCUAACUCUGUGCCAGCAGCCGCGGUAAUACAGUGGGUGCAAGCGUUAAUCGGAAUUACUGGGCGUAAAGCGCGCGUAGGUGGUUUGUUAAGUUGGAUGUGAAAGCCCCGGGCUCAACCUGGGAACUGCAUCCAAAACUGGCAAGCUAGAGUACGGUAGAGGGUGGUGGAAUUUCCUGUGUAGCGGUGAAAUGCGUAGAUAUAGGAAGGAACACCAGUGGCGAAGGCGACCACCUGGACUGAUACUGACACUGAGGUGCGAAAGCGUGGGGAGCAAACA